RNAcentral lists this ribosomal RNA (589 nucleotides) under uncultured bacterium. RNAcentral describes it as "bacterial SSU rRNA". It matches the Rfam family "Bacterial small subunit ribosomal RNA", at positions 338 to 917 of the family's 1533-position model. The record is from RNAcentral.
CCUACGGGAGGCAGCAGUAGGGAAUCUUCCGCAAUGGACGAAAGUCUGACGGAGCAACGCCGCGUGAGUGAUGAAGGCUUUCGGGUCGUAAAACUCUGUUGUUAGGGAAGAACAAGUGCUAGUUGAAUAAGCUGGCACCUUGACGGUACCUAACCAGAAAGCCACGGCUAACUACGUGCCAGCAGCCGCGGUAAUACGUAGGUGGCAAGCGUUAUCCGGAAUUAUUGGGCGUAAAGCGCGCGCAGGUGGUUUCUUAAGUCUGAUGUGAAAGCCCACGGCUCAACCGUGGAGGGUCAUUGGAAACUGGGAGACUUGAGUGCAGAAGAGGAAAGUGGAAUUCCAUGUGUAGCGGUGAAAUGCGUAGAGAUAUGGAGGAACACCAGUGGCGAAGGCGACUUUCUGAUCUGUAACUGACACUGAGGCGCGAAAGCGUGGGGAGCAAACAGGAUUAGAUACCCUGGUAGUCCACGCCGUAAACGAUGAGUGCUAAGUGUUAGAGGGUUUCCGCCCUUUAGUGCUGAAGUUAACGCAUUAAGCACUCCGCCUGGGGAGUACGGCCGCAAGGCUGAAACUCAAAGGAAUUGACGGA